AGAGCGGCGGACGGGUGAGUAACACGUGGACAAUCUCGCCCCCGGCCCGGGAUAGCCCAGGGAAACCUGGAUUAAUACCGGAUGAGACGGGACCCGCGAAGGCGGGACCGGGAAGGCGCUGCGGCGCCGCCGGGGGAUGAGUCUGCGUCCCAUUAGCUAGACGGCGGGGUAACGGCCCACCGUGGCGACGAUGGGUAGCCGGCCUGAGAGGGUGGACGGCCACAUUGGAACUGAGACACGGUCCAGACUCCUACGGGAGGCAGCAGCUAAGAAUCUUCCGCAAUGGGCGAAAGCCUGACGGAGCGACGCCCGCGUGAACGAAGAAGGCCGUGAGGUUGUAAAGUUCUUUUCGGGAGGGGGAACAACCGUGGCAGGGAAUGGCCGCGGGAUGACGUGAAUCCCGGAAUAAGCCCCGGCUAACUACGUGCCAGCAGCGGC
Molecule: ribosomal RNA, 438 nt
Filed under: uncultured bacterium
Lineage: Bacteria
Description: bacterial SSU rRNA
Rfam family: Bacterial small subunit ribosomal RNA
Source: RNAcentral